Molecule: ribosomal RNA, 333 nt
Filed under: uncultured eukaryote
Lineage: Eukaryota
Description: partial 18S ribosomal RNA
Rfam family: Eukaryotic small subunit ribosomal RNA
Source: RNAcentral
CCCUUAGAUGUCCUGGGCCGCACGCGCGUUACACUGAUGCAUUCAACGAGCUUAUAACCUUGGCCGAGAGGCCUGGGCAAUCUUGUUAACGUGCAUCGUGAUAGGGAUAGAUUAUUGAAAUUAUUAAUCUUGAACGAGGAAUUCCUAGUAAACGCAGAUCAUCAAUCUGCAUUGAUUACGUCCCUGCCCUUUGUACACACCGCCCGUCGCUACUACCGAUUGAAUGGUUUAGUGAGAUCCUUGGAUCGGCCCUGUCGCGGCUGGCAACGGCCGCGUCGGCGCGUCGAGAAGACGAUCAAACUUGAUCAUUUAGAGGAAGUAAAAGUCGUAACA